Molecule: ribosomal RNA, 460 nt
Filed under: uncultured bacterium
Lineage: Bacteria
Description: partial 16S ribosomal RNA
Rfam family: Bacterial small subunit ribosomal RNA
Source: RNAcentral
CCUACGGGAGGCAGCAGUGAGGAAUAUUGGUCAAUGGACGAGAGUCUGAACCAGCCAAGUAGCGUGAAGGAUGACUGCCCCAUGGGUUGUAAACUUCUUUUAUAUGGGAAUAAAAUGUUCCACGUGUGGGAUUUUGUAUGUACCAUAUGAAUAAGGAUCGGCUAACUCCGUGCCAGCAGCCGCGGUAAUACGGAGGAUCCGAGCGUUAUCCGGAUUUAUUGGGUUUAAAGGGAGCGUAGGUGGAUUGUUAAGUCAGUUGUGAAAGUUUGCGGCUCAACCGUAAAAUUGCAGUUGAAACCGGCAGUCUUGAGUACAGUAGAGGUGGGCGGAAUUCGUGGUGUAGCGGUGAAAUGCUUAGAUAUCACGAAGAACUCCGAUUGCGAAGGCAGUUCACUGGACUGCAACUGACACUGAGGCUCGAAAGUGUGGGUAUCAAACAGGAUUAGAUACCCCUGUAGUC